This 543-nucleotide ribosomal RNA is filed under the name Nonnullidens sp. 18 CSC-2019. Its description in RNAcentral is "partial large subunit ribosomal RNA". It matches the Rfam family "Bacterial large subunit ribosomal RNA", at positions 1798 to 2627 of the family's 2925-position model. Lineage: Eukaryota; Metazoa; Arthropoda; Insecta; Ephemeroptera; Leptophlebiidae. The record is from RNAcentral.
GCCUGUUUAACAAAAACAUCGCUUUUAGGGAGGUAUAAAAGGUCUGGCCUGCCCACUGUGAUUAAAGGGCCGCAGUAUUUUGACUGUGCAAAGGUAGCAUAAUCAUUAGUCUUUUAAUUGAAGGCUGGCAUGAAUGGUUGGAUGAGGUAAACGCUGUCUCUUAUAAACAAAUAGAAUUUAGCUUUUCAGUCAAAAGGCUGAAAUAAUAUUAGAGGACGAGAAGACCCUAUAGAUCUUUAUAAAGCUAUAUAAGACUAGAAGAUGAGCUAGGGUUUUAUAAAAUUUUUAUUUGGUUGGGGUGACAAGGAAAUAUUAUAACUUUCUUAUAUUUAACACUGAUUAGUGAGUUGGGGAUCCAUAGAUUAUGAUUUAAAGAGAAAGUUACCUUAGGGAUAACAGCAUAAUCCUCUUAGAGAGUUCAAAUCGAAAAGAGGGGUUGUGACCUCGAUGUUGGACUAAGAUUUAGCUUGGGUGCAGCAGCCUGGGAUAGUGGUCUGUUCGACCAGUAGAAUCUUACAUGAUCUGAGUUCAAACCGGAGCUCC